CUCCCAUCCUGGGGCAGGGUGGUGUCCACUCUUCCCUCCCCAAAGGGAUGGACACAGCUGAGCUGCAAAUCCUGGGAGAUUUUUGGGCCCUGCGUGGAUGUCUUGGUGUGAUCAUGGCAUCGGGUUGUGGAGAGACAAGAUGGAGGGGGACAAGGAGCAGGGGGAAUUCAUGGGAAAGCUCCACGUUACAACUGCCUCCCAUGCAGCCUCUGUGUAUAGAAACAUAUCUGUGAUGGCGGUACUGGGAAAUUCACACUGAGAGCACUGGGACCUCUGAGAUGUCCAACCCAGCCUUCCUGACAGCUUCAAGGCAUGAUUUCCCCUGCCUGCAUGAUAUGUGAAAAUGAAGGAGCAUCUCCAUUGCCAGGGGGACAAGUGAGUGUGCUCUGGGUGUGAAUGGAAAGAGAAACGCCUCUCAGAAAUAACUCAGCAGAGAAGAAAAUGCUCCAUGCAUGGACUCCAAA
Long non-coding RNA from Corvus hawaiiensis (hawaiian crow), 464 nucleotides. RefSeq lists it as uncharacterized. The record is from RefSeq and is a predicted model, not a curated record. Lineage: Eukaryota; Metazoa; Chordata; Aves; Passeriformes; Corvidae. The transcript is spliced from 3 exons.